This 307-nucleotide ribosomal RNA is filed under the name uncultured eukaryote. RNAcentral describes it as "partial 18S ribosomal RNA". It matches the Rfam family "Eukaryotic small subunit ribosomal RNA", at positions 1470 to 1796 of the family's 1831-position model. The record is from RNAcentral.
CCCUUAGACGUUCUGGGCCGCACGCGCGCCACACUGACACAGGCAACGAGCUUUCCUUUACCGAAAGGUAUGGGUAAUCUUUUGAAACUGUGUCGUGCUGGGGAUAGAUCCUUGCAAUUUUUGAUCUUAAACGAGGAAUUCCUAGUAAGCGCGAGUCAUCAACUCGCGUUGAUUACGUCCCUGCCCUUUGUACACACCGCCCGUCGCUACUACCGAUUGAAUGGCUUAGUGAGGCCUCAGGAUCCGCGCUUAAUGUGUGGAGAAUUUGGACAAACUACGUCAUUUAGAGGAAGUAAAAGUCGUAACA